Long non-coding RNA from Triticum aestivum (bread wheat), 498 nucleotides. RefSeq lists it as uncharacterized. The transcript is spliced from 2 exons. The record is from RefSeq and is a predicted model, not a curated record. NCBI's taxonomy places the organism in Eukaryota, Viridiplantae, Streptophyta, Magnoliopsida, Poales, Poaceae.
GAGGUUGCCAAGUUUGGGCAUUACGUUGUUGUCAACUGGACUGUAUUUGAAGGAGAGGGCAACGGGGCGAAGCUAGUCGCCCGUGGACAAGGAAGCACCAUAUGCGCCGGUAGCUGGAUAUCUACUUACGUCAUAGUGUUUGUGGAUGGCAGGUUCAAAGGAUCCACCCUUCAAGUGAUGGGAAACGCCUUGGGUGUUAAUGGUCAGUUGGCUGUUACUGGUGGGACUGGGGAGUUUGCUCUUGCAAGUGGUAUCAUCAAGGUGGAUUUUGACAAACUUACUGGUGUUGACCACCUUACGGUGGAAGUGUAUACACCAGUGUUCUUAGGACCGUGUUAUGCAGCAGCGGAGAAUUAGUCCCUUGGGCCUGAUCAGAUUUACCAGUUGCUCUGAUCAAAAUAAAGUUUUUGACUUAAUCUCAGUUUCAUCCAUAAUAUGAGGGAUACUGGUUGUUCCCAACUCAUGUUUCCAGUUAUAAUAUUUUUAGUUCAUCUCAAA